RNAcentral lists this ribosomal RNA (1412 nucleotides) under Scarthyla vigilans. RNAcentral's name for it is "partial 16S large subunit ribosomal RNA". It matches the Rfam family "Bacterial large subunit ribosomal RNA", at positions 133 to 2597 of the family's 2925-position model. The record is from RNAcentral. Lineage: Eukaryota; Metazoa; Chordata; Amphibia; Anura; Hylidae.
GCUUAAAACCUAGCCCCUUUAACCUGAAUGACCUGUUCAAAUUUUUCUAUUUCAAUUAAAACAUUUUUUUAAUUUAGUAAAGGCGAUUAAAAAAUUUAUAGGAGCUAUAGAUAUAGUACCGCAAGGAAAAGGUGAAAUAAAAAUGAAAUAAAUCUUAAGCACAAAAAAGUAAAGAUUAACCCCUGUACCUUUUGCAUCAUGGUUUAACAAGUCUAAUCAAGCAAAGCGAUUUUUAGUCUGACCCCCCGAAACUAAGUGAGCUACUCUAGGACAGCUUUAUGAGCCAACCCGUCUCUGUUGCAAAAGAGUGGGAAGAGCCUAUAGUAGAGGUGACAGACCUAACGAACUUAGUGAUAGCUGGUUACUCAAGAAAAGGAUUUUAGUCCAACUUAAAGUUUAUUAAAUAGUUUUUUAUGGAAUUUUAACUUUAAAGCAACUCAAAUAAGGUACAGCCUGUUUGAACUAGGAUACAACCUAAAAUUUAGGGUAAUAUUUGUUUAUAAUAAUAAAGUGGGCCUAAAAGCAGUCAUCUUUAAAAAAGCGUCAAAGCUUACUUAUUUAUACACUUAAUAUCUUUUUUACUUUAGAACCCUUCAACCCUAUUGAGUAAUUCUAUAAUAAUAUAGAAGUUAUAAUGUUAAAACUAGUAAUAAGAAGUAGCACUUCUCUUAAAUGUAAGUGUAUGUCAGAAAGGACAAUCCGCUGACAUUUAACAUCAAUAAAUAAACACUAGUAACUGCACAAGAAAACACUAUUAACUUUUAUGUUAACCUAACACAAGAGCAUUUCAAGAAAGAUUAAAAGAAAAGGAAGGAAUUCGGCAAACAUUAGCCCCGCCUGUUUACCAAAAACAUCGCCUCUUGUAACUUAUAAGAGGUCCAGCCUGCCCAGUGACCCUGUUUAACGGCCGCGGUAUCCUAACCGUGCGAAGGUAGCGUAAUCACUUGUUCUUUAAAUGAGGACUAGUAUGAAUGGCAUCACGAAGGCUAUACUGUCUCCCUUUUUUAAUCAAUGAAACUAAUCUUCCCGUGAAGAAGCGGGAAUACACCUAUAAGACGAGAAGACCCUAUGGAGCUUUAAACCCAGUAGCACUAACUUACUGAAACUUUGAAUUAAUGUUUAAUUUAGUUUUAUGUCUACUAGUUUUAGGUUGGGGUGACCGCGGAGUAUAAUAAAACCUCCACAUUGGACGGACCUAAAAUCCUGAGCAAAAAUUUACAAAUUUAUGCACCAAUAAAUUGUCAUUUAUUGACCCAUUUUUUGAUCAACGAACCAAGUUACCCUAGGGAUAACAGCGCAAUCCGCUUCAAGAGCUCCUAUCGACAAGCGGGUUUACGACCUCGAUGUUGGAUCAGGGUAUCCCAGUGGUGCAGCCGCUACUAAAGGUUCGUUUGUUCAACGAUUAAAACCCU